GCCCCCUACUGGGGAGGGAGCCACAAUCCGGGCAUGUGUCCUUAACUGGAAUUGAACCCAGGACUCUUCAGUCCGCAGGCUGACAUUCUAUCCAUUGAGCCAAACCAGGUAGGGCCUUUUGUAACUUUUAACAUUCUUCCUUUACCUGUUGCACAUCUUCAGGGGCCUGAUAUCUAGUGCUCAUUUCCCCACCAGAACUCUAAACCAACUGAGAGAGAAGAGUACUCGGUAGACAGAGAACGAAGUGCCAUCUUUAUUACAGAGUUCACGCUGGAGAGGACAGCGAGUCCUGGAGCUGCAGAUAGUGGGCUUCAGACCAGUGAGCCCCGUGGGGACAGAGCUGCCCCGAGGCAGGUGCCCUGCCCACCCACCCGGCGCCCGCUAUCCCCACGCGCUUCAGCACAGGGCACGUGCUCUUUGUAAGCUACACCAAAGAUUAAAAAAGAGGAAGCACAGAGCAGGUACGCCCAGUUCUGCCCAUCUCCCACUUCACAUAGGUCACUGCACCUCCAAAGGGGCAUCGCUAAGGAGUGUCACCCCAAUGAGGCUCAGUGCACAGGGAAGGAAGCAAGAGUGUGUGUGUGUGUGGGGGGAGGGGGUACCUCCUCCUCAAACCUCUUUUAAAAAUAUAUUAAAUAAUGUUAAAGUUCGUAGAGCUGACAUAAUCUACCCAAGGUCUCCAGCCAGCAUGUAGUAGAACAAAAUCGAAACCAGAUCCUCUGACUUCUGAUUCUUGCCUCUGGCCUGCACUGCCCGCUGCCCCAGCACGAAUAGGGGCAGAGAAAUCAGACAGGUGAGGGGAGAAACGAGGCCCUGGAUCCUGGAAGCAGACAAGCCCUCAGGGCCCUCAGGGAGUACGCAGGUGAUGAGAAUGGACAUCCUGGAAGGAACCACAGACACUUUUAUGUCCCUUGGAAGAGACCACGUUUUGACUCUCUGCUCAGGAUCCCGUUGUCUGAGAUCAGCCCCCGCCGCCCUGUUCCUGCCCCAGCCAGUUCUCCAGCAGCUCCUGCCAAGUGUGUAUAUGUGUAUGCCUUCCGAGGGGCCGCCGCCCUCCAGGCCGCACUUGAUCGCACCCAGGGCGGGUGUGUGUCUGCGCUGGGCUGAGUCCCUUCCUCAGAAACCAGCCUGAGACCUGGAGGAGAAGGAUCCAGUCUCAGACUAACCAGGCCUUUGAAGGGGAGACAAGAACUCAGGAGCUAGACAUGGAUAUCUUCUCCCAGGGCAAGAUGAAGGACAGGGAGCAGGACGGGGGGGAAGGCAAACACACGCAAGACCAGCCAAUGGGAGACGGAGAUGAAGUUCCCGCUGACUGAGGGCGGCCGCGUCCUGCCCUUGCAUUUGUGAGACACCACUCUCUCCUUUCAAAUGAAAACAGGUUGUGGCAUCUUGUGACCCAGAGCUCUAAACUGUAUCCUUUGGGAAGGAACCAUAUGGUCACGUUGGGGAGACCUUGUUGAGGUGGAGAAACUAUGCCGCUGAAAGUGGCGGAUGUGAGUGCAUGGUCGCGUCUGCUCACCAGUAGUGA
This is a long non-coding RNA of Pipistrellus kuhlii (Kuhl's pipistrelle), 1528 nucleotides long. RefSeq lists it as uncharacterized. Lineage: Eukaryota; Metazoa; Chordata; Mammalia; Chiroptera; Vespertilionidae. The record is from RefSeq and is a predicted model, not a curated record. The transcript has 3 exons.